This 464-nucleotide long non-coding RNA is filed under the name Helianthus annuus (common sunflower). The record is from RNAcentral. Lineage: Eukaryota; Viridiplantae; Streptophyta; Magnoliopsida; Asterales; Asteraceae.
AAAGAGUUUGGUAUUUUAAGACGCUACAAGGGGUAGCCUAGGGAUUUCACUCCUACUGUUCCUUCAUUUUCCAUCAUCGAUUGAAAUUGAAUGCGAUCUUUUGGUAUUCGCCCUCCCCAUCUACCUUAUAACCUGAUUUUUAAUUCUUAAAGCUUCUAUCAAUGUCGAUGAAUAUCAUCUUCCCCCAAUCAAAGAUCAUAUGUCCCACUCGGGUUUUUGUUCGAGAUUGCAGGUGCAUAUCUUGAAGAUCUAUACUAGGCACGAGAGCAUUUUUCAUCAGGAUUAAAGUCAUGAAGAAGGAAUGGUUUGAAGGGAAAGAGUGUCUUGAUAUUGGCAGCAAUAAUGGAUUAAUAACAAUUACAAUUGGUAAUCGUUAAUAUACAGGUUUUGGUUAAAUGAAUUAUCAUCAGUUAGUUUUUUUUUUUUUUUACAUGGUUUUGAAUACUGAUGGUUCAUUCAUUAAU